CCGACGUGGACAUCCAGGAGUGUCUCCUCCUGGCUCUGUCCUGGUGGCGUAUGGGAGCGUAGCUCUGAGCUGUGACGUACAGUCCCGUUCCACGCCGUCGGAGACGAAGCUCCGUCCCCGGCUGUCGCUGGUGAGGACGAGCGUCCUGCAUAUUCCUACAUCUUCCCAGAGUCCUUUGGGGCCGUUACUGGGGAGCUAAACCAUGCAGUGCACAAAG
Molecule: small nucleolar RNA, 217 nt
Organism: Gouania willdenowi (blunt-snouted clingfish)
Lineage: Eukaryota; Metazoa; Chordata; Actinopteri; Blenniiformes; Gobiesocidae
Gene: SNORA73
Rfam family: Small nucleolar RNA SNORA73 family
About the family: U17 (SNORA73A and SNORA73B) also known as E1 belongs to the H/ACA class of small nucleolar RNAs (snoRNAs).
Source: Ensembl